AAUUCUCAACUUCAUUAGUUUGUAAUGAACUAACUGAAGCUUUGGAAGUGGAGGUUUUUGCUGGCGUCUCAGAUGUUCGGCUCCUCUUAAAUGCAUUAGUGGAUCCCGUUUGUUGGACUACCUUGGUGUGAUAAUUAUCUACGCUUUGGUUUUGGUCUAACAGGCUCUGUGAACAUUCUUCAGACUUUCAAGUCUGGUUUGGGUUUUGCAAUUAGUAUUGCUAUACCUGAGUUCAUUAGAGUUAGGGCUUUAUCUGCUUUCUAAUCGUCUGUGUAUUGCGGACAAUAUUCUUGACU
RNAcentral lists this unclassified non-coding RNA (296 nucleotides) under uncultured Agaricales. Its description in RNAcentral is "sequence contains ITS2". The record is from RNAcentral. Lineage: Eukaryota; Fungi; Basidiomycota; Agaricomycetes; Agaricales.